Molecule: transfer RNA, 75 nt
Filed under: Clostridiales bacterium
Lineage: Bacteria; Bacillati; Bacillota; Clostridia; Eubacteriales
Also listed under: 2 other names
Description: tRNA-Arg
Rfam family: tRNA
About the family: Transfer RNA (tRNA) molecules are approximately 80 nucleotides in length. Their secondary structure includes four short double-helical elements and three loops (D, anti-codon, and T loops).
Source: RNAcentral
GGAUCCGUAGUUAAAUGGAUAUAACGGAGCCCUCCUAAGGCUUUGUUGUGGGUUCGAUUCCCGCCGGGUCUACCA